GACUACAGGGGUAUCUAAGCCUGUUUGCUCCCCACGCUUUCGUGCCUCAGUGUCAGUUACAGUCCAGAAAGCCGCCUUCGCCACUGGUGUUCCUCCUAAUAUCUACGCAUUUCACCGCUACACUAGGAAUUCCGCUUUCCUCUCCUGCACUCAAGUAGCCCAGUUCGCAAGGCGAACAAUGGUUGAGCCAUUGCCUUAAACCCUGCGCUUAGGUAACCACCUACGCACUCUUUACGCCCAAUAAUUCCGGAUAACGCUCGCCCCCUACGUAUUACCGCGGCUGCUGGCACGUAGUUAGCCGGGGCUUCCUCCAUGGGUACCGUCAUUUUUUUCUUCCCCAAGGACAGAAGUUUACGACCCGAAAGCCUUCAUCCUUCACGCGGCGUUGCUGCAUCAGGCUUUCGCCCAUUGUGCAAUAUUCCCCACUGCAGCCGCCCGUAGG
RNAcentral lists this ribosomal RNA (442 nucleotides) under uncultured Eubacteriales bacterium. RNAcentral's name for it is "uncultured Clostridiales bacterium partial 16S ribosomal RNA". Lineage: Bacteria; Bacillati; Bacillota; Clostridia; Eubacteriales. The record is from RNAcentral.